RNAcentral lists this ribosomal RNA (298 nucleotides) under Morganella morganii. RNAcentral's name for it is "partial 23S ribosomal RNA". It matches the Rfam family "Bacterial large subunit ribosomal RNA", at positions 2224 to 2521 of the family's 2925-position model. The record is from RNAcentral. Lineage: Bacteria; Pseudomonadati; Pseudomonadota; Gammaproteobacteria; Enterobacterales; Morganellaceae.
AACCCGGGUCCAUAAUCGGGAUCGGGGACCGUGUCUGGUGGGUAGUUUGACUGGGGCGGUCUCCUCCCAAAGAGUAACGGAGGAGCACGAAGGUUGGCUAAGCAUGGUCGGACAUCAUGCGGUUAGUGCAAAGGCAUAAGCCAGCUUGACUGCGAGAGUGACGGCUCGAGCAGGUACGAAAGUAGGUCUUAGUGAUCCGGUGGUUCUGAAUGGAAGGGCCAUCGCUCAACGGAUAAAAGGUACUCCGGGGAUAACAGGCUGAUACCGCCCAAGAGUUCAUAUCGACGGCGGUGUUUGG